GACGAACGCUGGCGGCGUGCUUAACACAUGCAGGUCGAACGGUGAAGCCCUUCGGGGUGGAUCAGUGGCGAACGGGUGAGUAACACGUGAGCAACCUGCCCCUGGCUCUGGGACAACCACUGGAAACGGUGGCUAAUACCGGAUACGACCCGCCUCGGCAUCGAGUGUGGGUGGAAAGUUUUUCGGCUGGGGAUGGGCUCGCGGCCUAUCAGCUUGUUGGUGAGGUGAAGGCUCACCAAGGCGACGACGGGUAGCCGGCCUGAGAGGGCGACCGGCCACACUGGGACUGAGACACGGCCCAGACUCCUACGGGAGGCAGCAGUGGGGAAUAUUGCACAAUGGGCGAAAGCCUGAUGCAGCGACGCCGCGUGAGGGAUGACGGCCUUCGGGUUGUAAACCUCUUUCAGCUCCGAAGAAGCGAAAGUGACGGUAGGAGCAGAAGAAGCACCGGCUAACUACGUG
This 462-nucleotide ribosomal RNA is filed under the name uncultured bacterium. Its description in RNAcentral is "partial 16S ribosomal RNA". It matches the Rfam family "Bacterial small subunit ribosomal RNA", at positions 28 to 507 of the family's 1533-position model. The record is from RNAcentral.